GUCGAGAAUCUUCGGCAAUGGGCGCAAGCCUGACCGAGCGACGCCGCGUGGAGGACGAAGGCCUUCGGGUUGUAAACUCCUGUCGAGGGGGAAGAAGCCGCAAGGUUGACUGAACCCUGGAGGAAGCACGGGCUAAGUUCGUGCCAGCAGCCGCGGUAAGACGAACCGUGCGAACGUUAUUCGGAAUCACUGGGCUUAAAGCGCGUGUAGGCGGGACGGCACGUCGGUCGCUGAAAGCCCCCGGCUCAACCGGGGAACGGGCGCCGAUACGACUGUCCUCGAGGGACGUAGGGGGACCUGGAACUUCCGGUGGAGCGGUGAAAUGCGUUGAGAUCGGAAGGAACGCCCGUGGCGAAAGCGAGGUCCUGGACGUUUUCUGACGCUGAGACGCGAAAGCCAGGGGAGCGAACGGGAUUAGAAACCCCAGUAGUCC
RNAcentral lists this ribosomal RNA (433 nucleotides) under uncultured bacterium. Its description in RNAcentral is "bacterial SSU rRNA". It matches the Rfam family "Bacterial small subunit ribosomal RNA", at positions 354 to 796 of the family's 1533-position model. The record is from RNAcentral.